Molecule: transfer RNA, 43 nt
Filed under: Homotherium latidens (European saber-tooth cat)
Lineage: Eukaryota; Metazoa; Chordata; Mammalia; Carnivora; Felidae
Description: partial tRNA-Lys
Source: RNAcentral
CAUUGAGAAGCUAAUAUAAGCAUUAACCUUUUAAGUUAAAGAC